RNAcentral lists this unclassified non-coding RNA (252 nucleotides) under Hevea brasiliensis (rubber tree). The record is from RNAcentral. Lineage: Eukaryota; Viridiplantae; Streptophyta; Magnoliopsida; Malpighiales; Euphorbiaceae.
UGUUUCUGGGUUAUAUUAAAAAAAUACUCCAUAUAUGAUAUAUGUUGACUUGUUAAUUAUUUUCCUAAUUUUUCCCUCCCAAGAACAAAAUUACAUGCAAAUGAAUAAGAUCAACUGAACUUUCAGCAGUUUGAUAGAAAAGAUUACAAUUAUAUGAUCAAAAGGAAAAGAAAAGAAAUUAGACACAGUGAGGUCAAAGAAGAAAGGAAUCGCCUUACUUGAGACUCUCCAAACUGUGAGAAAUGAAAGAGA